This 441-nucleotide ribosomal RNA is filed under the name uncultured bacterium. Its description in RNAcentral is "partial 16S ribosomal RNA". It matches the Rfam family "Bacterial small subunit ribosomal RNA", at positions 339 to 795 of the family's 1533-position model. The record is from RNAcentral.
CUACGGGGGGCAGCAGUAAGGAAUCUUCCGCAAUGGGCGAAAGCCUGACGGAGCGACACCGCGUGAAGGAUGACACCUCUAGGGGCGUAAACUUCUUUUCUGAGUGAAUAAGUUCUGAAGUUAACUCAGGAAUAAGCGACGGCUAACUACGUGCCAGCAGCCGCGGUAAUACGUAGGUCGCGAGCGUUAAUCGGAAUCAUUGGGCGUAAAGGGUCCGCAGCCGGAAAAAUAAGUCUGAUGUUAAAGCACGGGGCUCAACCCCGUGUACGUAUCGGAAACUGUUUUUCUAGAGUAAUUGAGAGGUGCGUGGAAUUUCUGGUGUAGGGGUAAAAUCCGUAGAUACCAGAAGGAACACCAAAAGCGAAGGCAGCGCACUGGCAAUUUACUGACGGUCAGGGACGAAAGCGUGGGGAGCGAAAAGGAUUAGAUACCCCGGUAGUC